GUAAUGGAGAUGGCGAGUAGUAGUAGAAAUCGCAUUUAAUUCAUGUGAUUUGGUACUAUGAAAAUUUUAAAAGAGAAAUCCGCUUGAGUUCUUGCAAGACGGCAUUCUUUCACCAGCUGACACGCAAUGUAUUGAUUGAUUGGGGUCUUUUCAAGGGUUCCCAUUGUAAAGUUGCUCGAGUAUCAUGCUUGUCUGAUCAAUUA
Non-coding RNA from Caenorhabditis elegans, 203 nucleotides. The record is from Ensembl. NCBI's taxonomy places the organism in Eukaryota, Metazoa, Nematoda, Chromadorea, Rhabditida, Rhabditidae.